This 94-nucleotide microRNA precursor is filed under the name Vigna radiata var. radiata (mung bean). RNAcentral describes it as "MIR394 microRNA precursor family". It matches the Rfam family "MIR394 microRNA precursor family". The record is from Rfam by way of RNAcentral. Lineage: Eukaryota; Viridiplantae; Streptophyta; Magnoliopsida; Fabales; Fabaceae.
GUUCCAUAGACAUUUUGGCAUUCUGUCCACCUCCAUUAUGUCUACAAACAUGAUGAUUUUGGAGGUGGUCAGCAUGCCAAACGGGCUCUGUGUA